This 533-nucleotide ribosomal RNA is filed under the name uncultured microorganism. RNAcentral describes it as "bacterial SSU rRNA". It matches the Rfam family "Bacterial small subunit ribosomal RNA", at positions 9 to 524 of the family's 1533-position model. The record is from RNAcentral.
GAGUUUGAUCUUGGCUCAGGAUGAACGCUGGCGGCGUGCCUAAUACAUGCAAGUCGAACGAACAGAUAAGGAGCUUGCUCCUUUGACGUUAGCGGCGGACGGGUGAGUAACACGUGGGUAACCUACCUAUAAGACUGGAAUAACUCCGGGAAACCGGGGCUAAUGCCGGAUAACAUGUUGAACCGCAUGGUUCUACAGUGAAAGACGGUCUUGCUGUCACUUAUAGAUGGACCCGCGCCGUAUUAGCUAGUUGGUGGGGUAACGGCCUACCAAGGCGACGAUACGUAGCCGACCUGAGAGGGUGACCGGCCACACUGGAACUGAGACACGGUCCAGACUCCUACGGGAGGCAGCAGUAGGGAAUCUUCCGCAAUGGGCGAAAGCCUGACGGAGCAACGCCGCGUGAGUGAUGAAGGUCUUCGGAUCGUAAAGCUCUGUUGUUAGGGAAGAACAAAUGUGUAAGUAACUGUGCAUAUCUUGACGGUACCUAACCAGAAAGCCACGGCUAACUACGUGCCAGCAGCCGCCGUAAU